AUCUACAGGCAUUAAAUUGGCGCUCUGAGAGACGGGACUGUUAUUAAGCCAGCAACUUAAUUAAGAAAAGGAAGUCAUGUGCUUUAAGAUGAGAAUUCAGACAAAGAGUGCUGCCUCUAUUAUCAAGUGAGUCCUUGCUGUUGCCUGAAGGAGACCAUCACCUUGGAAAGUGGAGGAGACUGCGGUCUGCAGCCCGUUCCGCUGUGGUUAAACCCACACCACCCCGCAGCACAAACCAACUUCUCCGGCGUUACCAGGAGCCCCGCGAGAAGGCUCCGGGGGCUCAGAGCUCCCUGCCUCAUCACCCAUCCCACCCCUCCACUCGUAGCCCGAGCUGAGGUAAGUCUGUCGCGAACUUUCGCUCCGCCCUGUGUGGGACCGGAGUCGGGACACGGAGCGCCUCGCGUGGGACGCCGCCGACGGAGGCCCCCGCGGGCGGGAGGGCAGCGCCGCCAUUUCGGCUCCCGCGCGGCCGCCCCGCGCCCGACAGAGGGCGGGCUCCGGCAGGCGCCCAGCCGAGCGUGUGGGGCCGCGCGGCGGGAGCCGGGCCGGGCAGGGCGCGGGAUAGCGGCUCGGAGGAGCCGGCGGCCGUGA
RNAcentral lists this long non-coding RNA (594 nucleotides) under Numida meleagris (helmeted guineafowl). RNAcentral's name for it is "lncRNA (ENSNMEG00000010127.1)". The record is from RNAcentral. Lineage: Eukaryota; Metazoa; Chordata; Aves; Galliformes; Numididae.